Molecule: ribosomal RNA, 467 nt
Filed under: uncultured bacterium
Lineage: Bacteria
Description: partial 16S ribosomal RNA
Rfam family: Bacterial small subunit ribosomal RNA
Source: RNAcentral
GACGAACGCUGGCGGCGUGCUUAACACAUGCAAGUCGAACGGAAAGGCCCUGCUUUUGUGGGGUGCUCGAGUGGCGAACGGGUGAGUAACACGUGAGUAACCUGCCCUUGACUUUGGGAUAACUUCAGGAAACUGGGGCUAAUACCGGAUAGGAGCUCCUGCUGCAUGGUGGGGGUUGGAAAGUUUCGGCGGUUGGGGAUGGACUCGCGGCUUAUCAGCUUGUUGGUGGGGUAGUGGCUUACCAAGGCUUUGACGGGUAGCCGGCCUGAGAGGGUGACCGGCCACAUGGGGACUGAGAUACGGCCCAGACUCCUACGGGAGGCAGCAGUGGGGAAUAUUGCACAAUGGGCGGAAGCCUGAGGCAGCAACGCCGCGUGCGGGAUGACGGCCUUCGGGUUGUAAACCGCUUUCGCCUGUGACGAAGCGUGAGUGACGGUAAUGGGGAAAGAAGCACCGGCUAACUACGU